CUAUGCGUAGGUUGUCUCUCCAAUUCACAAUCUACUUUUUUUAGUUUUUAAUCAACAAAAAAGAAAUCCCGUUAUUAGUGUAAGAAAAAAAAACAUUAAUACAGCAAAAGGGAGGCGAGUAGUUGCAUCAUACUCACCUCGACUCAUCCCAAAUAAGUUGGCAGGAGACACCAAAUCAUGUACAAAAGAAAACAGAGGAAGCACAAUUGACAAAAGAUUUUCCACCAGAAACUCAACAAGAACUCAGUCUGGUCCAUUUGUGAUUUGCUGCAGGUGAUUAAUGAACUCGUUGAUGGAGAAAUCCUUGUGCUUGGAACUUGUCUUUACCCAACUGACCACUCUUAGCUUGACAAGUCCAUGAAUGGAGUCCCAACUAGGAUGGAUUUUCUCAAACAACAGCAAAUCUCUUGCCCUCCAAAUGGUCCAAAAAAUUGUAGAAGGGAUUGUCUCCCAGAUGUCUCUGAAUUUCAUUCUAACAUAUAUAAGUCCCUUGCCACCAAUGAAAUAGGUUCUGAAUAGAGCUUGGAGUCGCCCAUACAGUCCCCCACCAAUCGAUGGCUCCAGAUCCACAGACACCAUCUGACCAUAUUCAAUCAGUUUCGAAUAACUUAUCGUCGGCCACUAACGAACAUCUAUUAAUAAGUCCUAAUAAGUCCCAUGAGUAAGAAAUACACAGUGCAAUUAAUAAACAAAGACUCAACCAAUCCACCACAAUAUCCCAUCACCUCAUUCCAAGGUCUCCAUUACAAUUUAUCAACUGAAAAAUAUCAUUUCUAACUUAUUUAGUUCAGCUUGUGAAUUUAUAGUACUUCCAAAGUGAAAUAUAACCACACACACACACACACACACACAAAUAAAAAAGCAAUCCUAUAUACUCCUUAGAACCCUGUUCAAUCUUCUUCAGCAGAAAAUGAACAACAAUUCUUCAACUACUGUAUUUUGUGUACUCUCCAGAUGAAUUUGUGGAAUCUAAUCCAAGUGAUUCUCACAAAUAAAAACUUGUCAAUAUCUUGGAAAAUGAAUAGGGAUUAUUUUAUUUGUCUCCCAAAAUAGUUACAUCUGAAGUUUGUACUUUGUGGUUGGUUGAUUGUGCAGUUAUACUGUACAAGGCAAUCAUCUAUAAAUGUAAACCAUGUCCAUAUUAAUCCCAGCAUCAUCAUAAUAAUUAAAGUCUCUAUAUCAUCAAACUUUGUUGUUUAGUUUUUAAACAAUGGAGGUGCUUUUGUCAAACAGGCCAAUUGUUCAAUCCUUGCCUGAUAGCUAUGUACUCCCACCAGAUAGAAGACCUGGGAUGGUUAAUGUUCCUAUUGGCAAAGACAUUCCAGUCAUUGAUUUUCAAACCAUUGCCGAUCCUGAUGAUCGCAUUGAGGUUGUUCAGCAAAUCUUAAAAGCAUGCCAGGAAUUCGGAUUGUUUCAGUACUUAGGUCAUUGCCAAAAAGUAAGGAGACAAAAGUCAUUGCCAUCACCGAAGCCAAGGAUUUAAUUGGAUCUCUCUUAACUCAUGAGCUCAUAAUGCAAGAAGGAAAGGAAGUGGAGGACAACAACAAGAAGAAAGGAAUAACCUUCAAAUCCACCUUGAAACAUCAAGAGGAUAAGGAAGAUGAUUCAGAUGAGGAUGAGGAAAUGGCAUUCAUCACUAAAAAGUUCCAAAGGUUUGUGAGAAAGAAACAAGGCGUACGAAAUUUUUUAGAAAAGACUUCAACAGGGAUUUUCAAAGAGGAGAAAAUCACAAAAAAUCUGAAGUAACCUGCUACGAAUGCAACAAACCUGGACAUUACAAAUCAGAAUGUCCAGAACUUAAGAAAAAAUUCAAGAAGAACAAGAAGAAAGCUAUGAUUGCAGCAUGGGGAGAAGAUAGUGAUGAAAGCGACACAAAAACCGAAAUUUGCAAAAAUGAGGUAUGUUUCAAGAAAUAAUCCAGUAACGAUAGAUGGUAUCUCGACAGUGCAUGUUCGAGGCACAUGACUGGAAAUAAAGCUAUGUUUGCCACAUUUCAACCAAAGGAUGGCGGAUAUGUGACUUUUGACAACAAUAGUAAGAGUAAAAUCAUUGGUGUAGGAAGUAUUGGUAAAAGUCCCUCUCCUAUUAUUGAAAAUGUUUUAUUUGUUGAAGGUUUAAAACAUAACUUGCUUAGCAUUAGUCAAUUAUGUAAUAAAGGUUAUAGAGUUAUUUUUGAGAAAACUCAUUGCACUAUUGAAAACACCCUAUAAAACAAAACGUUAUUUGUAGGUUAUAGACAUGAGAAUGUAUAUGUGUUUGAUUUACAUGAUUUAUCUUCGCAUUUUAACAUUAAAUGUUUAUCUGCUAUAAAUGAUAAUGGUUGGCUUUGGCAUGGAAGAUUAGGAUAUGCUCAUU
Non-coding RNA from Camellia sinensis, 2355 nucleotides. The record is from RefSeq and is a predicted model, not a curated record. Lineage: Eukaryota; Viridiplantae; Streptophyta; Magnoliopsida; Ericales; Theaceae.